This 469-nucleotide ribosomal RNA is filed under the name uncultured bacterium. RNAcentral describes it as "partial 16S ribosomal RNA". It matches the Rfam family "Bacterial small subunit ribosomal RNA", at positions 28 to 508 of the family's 1533-position model. The record is from RNAcentral.
GACGAACGCUGGCGGCGUGCUUAACACAUGCAAGUCGAACGGAAAGGCCCUGCUUUUGUGGGGUGCUCGAGUGGCGAACGGGUGAGUAACACGUGAGUAACCUGCCCUUGACUUUGGGAUAACUACAGGAAACUGGGGCUAAUACCGGAUAGGAGCUCCUGCUGCAUGGUGGGGGUUGGAAAGUUUCGGCGGUUGGGGAUGGACUCGCGGCUUAUCAGCUUGUUGGUGGGGUAGUGGCUUACCAAGGCUUUGACGGGUAGCCGGCCUGAGAGGGUGACCGGCCACAUUGGGACUGAGAUACGGCCCAGACUUCUACGGGAGGCAGCAGUGGGGAAUAUUGCACAAUGGGCGGAAGCCUGAUGCAGCAACGCCGCGUGCGGGAUGACGGCCUUCGGGUUGUAAACCGCUUUCGCCUGUGACGAAGCGUGAGUGACGGUAAUGGGUAAAGAAGCACCGGCUAACUACGUGC